This 74-nucleotide transfer RNA is filed under the name Candidatus Omnitrophota bacterium. RNAcentral describes it as "tRNA-Pro". It matches the Rfam family "tRNA". Rfam says of the family: Transfer RNA (tRNA) molecules are approximately 80 nucleotides in length. Their secondary structure includes four short double-helical elements and three loops (D, anti-codon, and T loops). Further hydrogen bonds mediate the characteristic L-shaped molecular structure. tRNAs have two regions of fundamental functional importance: the anti-codon, which is responsible for specific mRNA codon recognition, and the 3' end, to which the tRNAs corresponding amino acid is attached (by aminoacyl-tRNA synthetases). tRNAs cope with the degeneracy of the genetic code in two manners: having more than one tRNA (with a specific anti-codon) for a particular amino acid; and 'wobble' base-pairing, i.e. permitting non-standard base-pairing at the 3rd anti-codon position. Lineage: Bacteria; Pseudomonadati; Candidatus Omnitrophota. The record is from RNAcentral.
CGGGGCGUAGCGCAGUUGGCUAGCGCGCUUGGUUUGGGACCAAGAAGCCGGUGGUUCAAAUCCACCCGCCCCGA